GCACUGGAAGGUCCCUAAACCGAAAGGGGCUCUGCCCGCCCGAGGAUGGGCCGGCGGCCGAUUAGGUAGUUGGUGGGGUAACGGCCCACCAAGCCCAUAAUCGGUACGGGCAGUGAGAGCUGGAGCCCGGAGAUGGACACUGAGACACGGGUCCAGGCCCUACGGGGCGCAGCAGGCGCGAAACCUCCGCAAUGCUCGAAAGAGCGACGGGGGGACCCCAAGUGCCGUGGUACAACCACGGCUUUUCCGGAGUGUAAGAAGCUCCGGGAAUAAGGGCUGGGCAAGGCCGGUGGCAGCCGCCGCGGUAAUACCGGCGGCCCGAGUGGUGGCCACUAUUAUUGGGCCUAAAGCGUCCGUAGCCGGGCAUGUAAGUCCCUGGCGAAAUCCCACGGCUCAACCGUGGGGCUUGCUGGGGAUACUGCAAGCCUUGGGACCGGGAGAGGCCGGGGGUACUCCUGGGGUAGGGGUGAAAUCCUAUAAUCCCAGGAGGACCGCCAGUGGCGAAGGCGCCCGGCUGGAACGGGUCCGACGGUGAGGGACGAAGGCCAGGGGAGCAAACCGGAUUAGAUACCCGGGUAGUCCUGGCUGUAAAGGAUGCGGGCUAGGUGUUGCUUGGACCUCGAGUCCAAGCAGUGCCGCAG
Molecule: ribosomal RNA, 641 nt
Filed under: uncultured archaeon
Lineage: Archaea
Description: bacterial SSU rRNA
Rfam family: Archaeal small subunit ribosomal RNA
Source: RNAcentral